AUUGAACGCUGGCGGAAUGCUUUACACAUGCAAGUCGAGCGGCAGCGCGGCCUUCGGGCUGGCGGCGAGCGGCGAACGGGUGAGUAAUGCAUCGGAACAUGCCCAGUCGUGGGGGAUAACACUUCGAAAGAAGUGCUAAUACCGCAUACGUCCUGAGGGGGAAAGCGGGGGAUCGCAAGACCUCGCGCGAUUGGAGUGGCCGAUGUCAGAUUAGCUAGUUGGUGGGGUAAAGGCCUACCAAGGCGACGAUCUGUAGCUGGUCUGAGAGGAUGAUCAGCCACACUGGGACUGAGACACGGCCCAGACUCCUACGGGAGGCAGCAGUGGGGAAUUUUGGACAAUGGGGGCAACCCUGAUCCAGCCAUUCCGCGUGAGUGAAGAAGGCCUUCGGGUUGUAAAGCUCUUUCGGCAGGAACGAAACGGUGGGCUCUAACAUAGUCCGCUAAUGACGGUACCUGAAGAAGAAGCACUGGCUAACUACGUG
Molecule: ribosomal RNA, 484 nt
Filed under: uncultured bacterium
Lineage: Bacteria
Description: partial 16S ribosomal RNA
Rfam family: Bacterial small subunit ribosomal RNA
Source: RNAcentral